Molecule: ribosomal RNA, 442 nt
Filed under: uncultured bacterium
Lineage: Bacteria
Description: partial 16S ribosomal RNA
Rfam family: Bacterial small subunit ribosomal RNA
Source: RNAcentral
CCUACGGGUGGCAGCAGUGGGGAAUAUUGGGCAAUGGGCGCAAGCCUGACCCAGCAACGCCGCGUGAAGGAAGAAGGCUUUCGGGUUGUAAACUUCUUUUAAGAGGGAAGAGUAGAAGACGGUACCUCUUGAAUAAGCCACGGCUUACUACGGGCCAGCAGCCGCGGUAAUACGGAGGUGGCAAGCGUUGUCCGGAUUUACUGGGUGUAAAGGGCGUGUAUGCGGGCCGGCAAUGCAGAUGUGAAAUCCCAAGGCUCAACCUUGGAAGUGCAUUUGAAACUGUUGGUCUUGAGUAGGCGAGAGGCAGGCGGAAUUCGUGGUGUAGCGGUGAAAUGCGUAGAUAUUAGGAAGAACACCAGUGGCGAAGGCAGCCUACUGGACGACAACUGACGGUGAGGCGCGAAAGCGUGGGGAGCAAACAGGAUUAGAUACCCGGGUAGUC